UUGACCUCAAAUCGGGUGAGACUACCCGCUGAACUUAAGCAUAUNNNNNNNNNNNNNNNNNNNNNNNNNNNAGGAUUCCCCUAGUAACUGCGAGUGAAGCGGGAAAAGCUCAAAUUUAAAAUCUGGUGGCCCUUGGCCAUCCGAGUUGUAAUUUAGAGAAGCGUCUUCCGCGUCAGACCGUGCACAAGUCUCCUGGAAUGGAGCGUCAUAGAGGGUGAGAAUCCCGUCUUUGGCACGGAUGCCCUGGUGCUUCUGUGAUGCGCUCUCGAAGAGUCGAGUUGUUUGGGAAUGCAGCUCAAAAUGGGUGGUGAACUCCAUCUAAAGCUAAAUACUGGCGAGAGACCGAUAGCGAACAAGUACCGUGAGGGAAAGAUGAAAAGCACUUUGGAAAGAGAGUGAAACAGUACGUGAAAUUGUUGAAAGGGAAACGCUUGAAGUCAGUCGCAUCGACCGAGACUCAGCCUCGCCUUGGCUUGGUGUACUUCUCGGCACGAUGGGUCAGCAUCAAUUUUGCCCCUCAGAUAAUGGCAAGGGAAAGGUGGCACCUUUGCGGGUGUGUUAUAGUCUCUUGUCGCAUGUGAGGGGUGGGAUUGAGGAACUCAGCGUGCACCUCUGGUGUCGGGGCUUUGGCCCACGCAACGCGCUUAGGAUGCUGGCAUAAUGGCUUUAAACGACCCGUCUUGAAACACGGACCAAGGAGUCCAACAUGCCUGCGAGUGUUCGGGUGGAAAACCCGUGCGCGUAAUGAAAGUGAAAGUUGGGACCUCUGUCGUGGAGGGCACCGACGCCCGGACCAGACCUUCUGUGACGGAUCUGCGGUAGAGCAUGUAUGUUGGGACCCGAAAGAUGGUGAACUAUGCCUGAAUAGGGUGAAGCCAGAGGAAACUCUGGUGGAGGCUCGUAGCGAUUCUGACGUGCAAAUCGAUCGUCAAAUUUGGGUAUAGGGGCGAAAGACUAAUCGA
Molecule: ribosomal RNA, 962 nt
Filed under: Lactarius echinellus
Lineage: Eukaryota; Fungi; Basidiomycota; Agaricomycetes; Russulales; Russulaceae
Description: partial 28S ribosomal RNA
Rfam family: Eukaryotic large subunit ribosomal RNA
Source: RNAcentral